AUGGCCACCGCCGCCAAGCCCGCCGACCCCGCCCCCGCCGCCAAGCCCGCCGACCCCGCCCCCGCCGAUCCGCCCGCCGACGACCCCAUGGACGCCGACGCCGAGGCGGAGGAGCACGAGGAGGAGGCGGAGUCGGAGGAGGAGGCGGAGGCGCAGCCGCAGAAGAAGCGGGGCCGGAGGAAGAGGGUGCCGCGGGAGCCGGCCACCCCCGCCACCGGGAGGCCCUCCAGGGAGCGCAAGACCGUCGAGCGCUACGCCGAGCUCACCCCGCGCUCCACCCCCGCCAAGAAGUCCGCCGCCAUUCUCCAGGGCUCUGGGACGAAGCUCAAGGAGAUCCCCAAUGUUUUCUUCAAACUAUCCAAGAGAAAGGUGGAUGACAAUCUUCAGAGUCUUCAUGCUUUAUUGUUUGGGAGAAAAUCAACUGUCCAUUUCUUGAAAAGAAACCUAUCACAGUUUUCUGGUUUUGUUUGGACUGACAAUCCGGAAAAGCAAAGGAACAGGAUAAAAGAAAGGCUUGACAAGAUGCACAAGGAGAAGCUGCUAGAUUUUUGUGAUAUACUUGAUGUUCAGACCAAACACACUUUAAAGAAGGAGGAAGUUUCUGCCAAAUUGCUGGAGUUUCUGGAGUCUCCUUGCAUUACCAGAGAUGUUGUUAUCAGUGAUGUGAAGAAAGGGAAGAAACGCCGGAGGAAGUCUAAAGGAACUUCUGGAGAGAAGAAAAAGAGGAAGAGCCGGAAACAAGCAGUUGAGGCUGAAAAAGAGAAUGAUGAUGAAGAUGAUGCUGGUCCUGCUGGUUCUGAGGACGCAUCAAUGGGAGAAAGUGAUGAGGACUCUGAAGUGAAAGAAGAAACCAAGAGUGAUGAAGAGCCUGAAGCGACACCAGUUAAGAAAAAGUCAACAGAUGAUAAACAAGGAAAGAAGGAAGCUGGAUCCAAGGCAAAGGAAAAUGAUGCAUCAGUAAAGAAGACUCCUACUAAAUCUGUAAAAAGCGUGUCAAAGCCAGAUGUGGAGCCGGAGAGCAAAAAGGCUGCCAAGAAAACACCAAAGAAUUCAACAAAGGGAAGCAAUACACCUGUAGAAAAGGCCAAGAAGAAGGUUGCAAAACCGAAAAAGGAUGAUGGAAAAGAGAGCAAAAACAACAGUAAGGCACGCAAGAAGCAAGGUGCCAAGGCAUCUGGUGGAAAUAAAGGAAAAGACAAGGUAGCCCCAACCACUAAGCAGCUGCAUGGAGUUGUUAGCAACAUAUUGAAAGAAGUGGACUUCAAUACGGCAACUUUGGCCGACAUUCUCCGGAAGCUAGGAGACCACUUUGACAUGGACCUCAUGGAUAGGAAGUCGGAGGUGAAGCGCAUCAUAGAGGAAGUGAUCAACAGCAUGUCUGACGAUGAAGGCGAGGAAGAAAAUGAGGAGGAUGCAGAGGAGAAUGGCAAGAAGGGAGAAGAUUCAAAGGAGGAUCCUGAUGAAGAGGAAGAGAAAUAA
This 1479-nucleotide ribosomal RNA is filed under the name Triticum aestivum (bread wheat). Its description in RNAcentral is "partial small subunit ribosomal RNA". Lineage: Eukaryota; Viridiplantae; Streptophyta; Magnoliopsida; Poales; Poaceae. The record is from RNAcentral.